Molecule: ribosomal RNA, 254 nt
Filed under: uncultured bacterium
Lineage: Bacteria
Description: partial 16S ribosomal RNA
Rfam family: Bacterial small subunit ribosomal RNA
Source: RNAcentral
GACGAACCGUGCGACCGUUGUUCGGAUUUACUGGGCGUAAAGGGCGCGUAGGCGGCCACCGCAAGUCGACUGUGAAAUCUCCGGGCUUAACUCGGAACGGUCAGCUGAUACUGCUUUGCUAGAGUGCAGAAGGGGCAAUCGGAAUUCUUGGUGUAGCGGUGAAAUGCGUAGAUAUCAAGAGGAACACCUGAGGUGAAGACGGGUUGCUGGGCUGACACUGACGCUGAGGCGCGAAAGCUAGGGUAGCAAACGGG